ACGGGAGGCAGCAGUGGGGAAUAUUGCACAAUGGAGGGAACUCUGAUGCAGCAACGCCGCGUGAGUGAAGAAGUAUUUCGGUAUGUAAAGCUCUAUCAGCAGGGAAGAAAAUGACGGUACCUGACUAAGAAGCCCCGGCUAACUACGUGCCAGCAGCCGCGGUAAUACGUAGGGGGCAAGCGUUAUCCGGAUUUACUGGGUGUAAAGGGAGCGCAGACGGCGUAGCAAGUCUGAAGUGAAAGCCUGGGGCUCAACCCCGGAACUGCUUUGGAAACUGCCAUGCUAGAGUGCUGGAGAGGCAAGCGGAAUUCCUAGUGUAGCGGUGAAAUGCGUAGAUAUUAGGAAGAACACCAGUGGCGAAGGCGGCUUGCUGGACAGUAACUGACGUUCAGGCUCGAAAGCGUGGGGAGCAAACAGGAUUAGAUACCCUGGUA
RNAcentral lists this ribosomal RNA (434 nucleotides) under uncultured Clostridium sp. RNAcentral describes it as "partial 16S ribosomal RNA". It matches the Rfam family "Bacterial small subunit ribosomal RNA", at positions 341 to 792 of the family's 1533-position model. Lineage: Bacteria; Bacillati; Bacillota; Clostridia; Eubacteriales; Clostridiaceae. RNAcentral also lists the same sequence under 1 other name. The record is from RNAcentral.